UAUUGGACAAUGGGGGGAACCCUGAUCCAGCGACGCCGCGUGCGUGAAGAAGUAUUUCGGUAUGUAAAGCUCUCUCAGCAUGGAAGAAGAAAAUGACGGUACCUGACUAAGAAGCCCCGGCUAACUACGUUCCAGCAGCCGCGGUAAUACGUAGGGGGCAAGCGUUAUCCGGAUUUACUGGGUGUAAAGGGAGCGUAGACGGUAGUGCAAGUCUGGAGUGAAAGGCGGGGGCUCAACCCCCGGAGUGCUCUGGAAACUGGGCGACUGGAGUGCAGGAGAGGUAAGUGGAAUUCCUAGUGUAGCGGUGAAAUGCGUAGAUAUUAGGAGGAACACCAGUGGCGAAGACGGCUUACUGGACUGUUACUGACGUUGAGGCUCGAAAGCGUGGGGAGCAAACAGG
RNAcentral lists this ribosomal RNA (400 nucleotides) under uncultured bacterium. RNAcentral describes it as "bacterial SSU rRNA". It matches the Rfam family "Bacterial small subunit ribosomal RNA", at positions 362 to 776 of the family's 1533-position model. The record is from RNAcentral.